RNAcentral lists this unclassified non-coding RNA (374 nucleotides) under Hevea brasiliensis (rubber tree). Lineage: Eukaryota; Viridiplantae; Streptophyta; Magnoliopsida; Malpighiales; Euphorbiaceae. The record is from RNAcentral.
UUCUCUUCCUUUUUCUUUGAUCCAUCAAGAGCUGGAUGUCCUCUUCAGAGCCAGAGUUGUGAAGCAGAGAGGAACCUGAUGAAUUUCCACUGGAGGAUGGCAUAUAGAGAUAUAUACUAUAUAUAAUUAUAUAUUUACACCAAAAUUACGGCUAAUAAUCUCUAUAAAACUGAGAUCUUGAUCUUACCUUAAUGACUUGAAAUUUGACGCAGGACCCAGGAGCUAAUAUAAAUUUGAUGGGUAAUCAAUAUAGCUAUAUAUAUGCAACUAAUAUACUAUAUUAGAUACAGGCAGAGAGAACAAGUUAUUAUUGAAAACACAUAGAACCAAUAAAGGAAAACAACAGAGAAAGAUUGAACAAGAUGGGUCCUGCG